GGGGUUGUAGCUCAGUUGGGAGAGCGCAUGACUGGCAGUCAUGAGGUCAGGGGUUCGAUCCCCCUCAGCUCCA
RNAcentral lists this transfer RNA (73 nucleotides) under Myxococcota bacterium. RNAcentral's name for it is "tRNA-Ala". It matches the Rfam family "tRNA". Rfam says of the family: Transfer RNA (tRNA) molecules are approximately 80 nucleotides in length. Lineage: Bacteria; Pseudomonadati; Myxococcota. The record is from RNAcentral. RNAcentral also lists the same sequence under 1 other name.